RNAcentral lists this long non-coding RNA (561 nucleotides) under Homo sapiens (human). RNAcentral's name for it is "HSALNT0298264". Lineage: Eukaryota; Metazoa; Chordata; Mammalia; Primates; Hominidae. The record is from RNAcentral.
UCGCGGCCUCUCCGCACCCCACGUCCCGGGAGCCGACCGGGAGACUCUCACGGCGGAGUUCCACAGACCUCGUUAGGUUAAAGGAACCUCGCCUUGCCCCCCACUAAUCGGCUAGAGAGGGAGGCCGGCGAAACAAAAGCCGUAGAGGAAAAUUAAGCGACUUCCCCCUCGGCGGGGAACUUGGAGGUCGGGGAAGGUGUGAUUAUGAAAAUAAACAAGGGAAGUGAGGGAAAUAUAACCAAGUGGAAAAAGGAAAUGGAGUGCAAAUUGAGAACAUAAUCCAGAAUUCGUAAAAGUGGUAUGGAUAAAGAAGGUCAAAAUGGUCUCUGAUGAAAAGAAACUUUUAAAAUGCUUGGAAAAGUUAAUGAAUUAGAUUUCCCUGCACUUGAAGAUAUUAGGAUUGGGAGAUCAAGACUCCCAUCAGCCAAAUCAAGAAUAUUCACAAUUGACAGGAAAACUCAAAGUUUCUUUUUCCCCACCAGAGAAAUGUCUCCCACCCCCAUAGCUAAACAGUGGUAAGUCAUAGAAAUGAUUAUAUUAGCUUAAAGAGAAUGUUUCCUA